Molecule: long non-coding RNA, 216 nt
Filed under: Capsella rubella
Lineage: Eukaryota; Viridiplantae; Streptophyta; Magnoliopsida; Brassicales; Brassicaceae
Description: long non-coding RNA (CRUB_LNC005139)
Source: RNAcentral
GUCAUUGGUUCGAGUAGCAUUUGGGACGAGACCAUAUAACAUGUUCUGGUCUCGGGUCUAAAGGGAUGUAUGGAUUUUGAUCCACAACUUUUUUGAUUAUUUUUUUUUAAAAUAUUAAUGUAGCAUUUUUGUUAGUUUUUUAAGUUGUUUGUUUAAGAUUUGUAUUUUCUGUGUAAUCGGAGUUUGGAUUUGAAUAAUUUUAGAGGUUACAGAAAA